RNAcentral lists this ribosomal RNA (516 nucleotides) under uncultured bacterium. RNAcentral describes it as "bacterial SSU rRNA". It matches the Rfam family "Bacterial small subunit ribosomal RNA", at positions 28 to 526 of the family's 1533-position model. The record is from RNAcentral.
GACGAACGCUGGCGGCGUGCCUAAUACAUGCAAGUAGAACGCUGAAGAGAGGAGCUUGCUCUUCUUGGAUGAGUUGCGAACGGGUGAGUAACGCGUAGGUAACCUGCCUGGUAGCGGGGGAUAACUAUUGGAAACGAUAGCUAAUACCGCAUGAUAUUAAUUAUUGCAUGAUAAUUGAUUGAAAGAUGCAAUUGCAUCACUACCAGAUGGACCUGCGUUGUAUUAGCUAGUUGGUGAGGUAACGGCUCACCAAGGCGACGAUACAUAGCCGACCUGAGAGGGUGAUCGGCCACACUGGGACUGAGACACGGCCCAGACUCCUACGGGAGGCAGCAGUAGGGAAUCUUCGGCAAUGGGGGGAACCCUGACCGAGCAACGCCGCGUGAGUGAAGAAGGUUUUCGGAUCGUAAAGCUCUGUCGUAAGAGAAGAACGGGUGUGAGAGUGGAAAGUUCACACUGUGACGGUAUCUUACCAGAAANGGACGGCUAACUACGUGCCAGCCGCCGCCGUAAGAC